AGGACACUGCUAGACGCGGUCCCUGCGGCUUAAUUUGACUUCAAUGGCGAAAACUCACCCGACCCGGACACUGAAAGGAUUGACAGACUGAUAGCUCUUUCGUUACUCGAUGGGUGGUGGUGCAUGGUCGUUCUUAGUUGGCGCAGCGAUUUGACUGGUUUAUUUCGAUAACCAUCGAGACUCUGGCCUAUUAAAAUCGUUGGUCCAUCUGCCAUGUGCGCGCGCCUUCUCAAGUUGCAUUUCGCUGCUCUCCCCGGAAAACACGACUGUCUUGAGGUCCCUUUCGAGCAAAAUGUUGAACGGCUUGACAUCUGUCCACUCUGAAGAAAUCGGCGAGAGCGUCCUUCCGCGACCGAAUCGGGCAACCCGUGAACGAUCGUCGGCUGUUCGACCCGAAACUGGCCUUCUUUGUCGAAAGCGACGAACUCCUAGUACAUGGGAAUGAACACCUCGCCGUGAUGACUCCCCUGCCCUUUGUACAAAGCGCCGAUCGACGCUAUCACGAGACCGACUUCGAGA
RNAcentral lists this ribosomal RNA (519 nucleotides) under uncultured eukaryote. RNAcentral describes it as "bacterial SSU rRNA". It matches the Rfam family "Eukaryotic small subunit ribosomal RNA", at positions 1161 to 1704 of the family's 1831-position model. The record is from RNAcentral.